Molecule: unclassified non-coding RNA, 256 nt
Filed under: Hevea brasiliensis (rubber tree)
Lineage: Eukaryota; Viridiplantae; Streptophyta; Magnoliopsida; Malpighiales; Euphorbiaceae
Source: RNAcentral
AACAAGGCGUAUGGAAUGACAGCAUUCGAAUAUCAUGGCACAGAUCCAAGAUUUAAUAAGGUUUUCAAUAAGGGAAUGUCUGAUCACUCUACCAUAACCAUGAAGAAAAUUCUUGAGACUUAUAAAGGCUUUGAGGGUCUUUCUUCUAUUGUGGAUGUUGGUGGUGGUAUUGGAGCUGUCCUUAGCAUGAUCGUCUCCAAAUACCCUUCGAUCAAAGGCAUUAACUUCGAUUUGCCCCAUGUAAUUGAGGAUGCUC